UACGUAGGGUGCGAGCGUUGUCCGGAAUUAUUGGGCGUAAAGGGCUCGUAGGCGGUCUGUCGCGUCGGGAGUGAAAACUCAGGGCUUAACCCUGAGCCUGCUUCCGAUACGGGCAGACUAGAGGUAUGCAGGGGAGAACGGAAUUCCUGGUGUAGCGGUGGAAUGCGCAGAUAUCAGGAGGAACACCGGUGGCGAAGGCGGUUCUCUGGGCAUUACCUGACGCUGAGGCGCGAAAGCGUGGGGAGCAAACAGG
This 253-nucleotide ribosomal RNA is filed under the name uncultured bacterium. RNAcentral describes it as "partial 16S ribosomal RNA". It matches the Rfam family "Bacterial small subunit ribosomal RNA", at positions 524 to 776 of the family's 1533-position model. The record is from RNAcentral.